Manis pentadactyla (Chinese pangolin) is the source of this 2317-nucleotide long non-coding RNA. RefSeq lists it as uncharacterized. Lineage: Eukaryota; Metazoa; Chordata; Mammalia; Pholidota; Manidae. The transcript is spliced from 4 exons. The record is from RefSeq and is a predicted model, not a curated record.
GGAGAAACAUGGCCAGGGGUGAACGUCUGCAGGCUGGAAGGAGAAGUCGUCAUUUGGAAGCCGCUGGCUGGUAAGGUACGUGCAUUUCCACUCAAUUAGGAUUUAAGGAGGGGUUGCAUCUAGAUGUGGGUUCCUUUUGUCCCAAUUUGCUUGCCUCGUAACACGCACGGCACAAAACUUGGGCAGGAAAAGGCUGUUUUUGUUUUGAAAGUGUAGGUCUGCCCAAGUUGGGUUCUUUCAAAAAUCCUCCUUCCCGCUGCCUUGCAAAGCGGCCCUUUGGGCUCCUGCCUCGGGAAGGACAGGCCGCAGGGUGAGCGUGGCCUGCAGGCCGGCACCUCCCCUUCCGGGCGCCUGGCCGCGUCCCCGCCCCCGCCCAGUGUCCCCGGAGCGUCGUGCACCGCGAGGGAGGCGGGUCUGAGCCCGGAGCCUUGAAUUACACGGGACGGAGGCGGGAUUCCAAGCCCUCCGACCCCGCGCAGCUGCUGUAACCCGGAGGACAAAAUGUCUUAUAUGGUGCCAUUUUUUUAAAAAAAAUCUAUGGAAAGCUGUUUUUCAUUACAACGAUCCUCAACUCUUUGGAACGGAGCCCAACACAUCUUGAGAAAGUCCUUAAAACCUACCAGUGGCAACUUCAAAAAGCGGAGGAAAAGGUCCCAUCAGAGGAAUGAAGUGACCCGUGUUCUUUUAAUGGAACGGUGUCAGUCACACACUGGAGUUGGAGUAUUACUCAGCCCUGAAGAGGAGGGGAGCCCUUACACACACACAGUGUGGAUGGACCUGAAUGCACGGUGCUCAAGAAGAGACGCAGACACGCAGGGACACACGGGGUGGGAUCCGUUCACAGGAAAUGCCCAGAACAGGCAGAUCUACAGACAGAACAUGGAUUCAUGGUUAUCAGGGACUGGGAGAGGUGGAGAGGGGGUCUCCUUUGGGGGGGUGGGGUGGAAUGUUCUGGAACCAGACAGAGGAGAUGGUUGUAUAACACGAGUGUGCUAAGUGAUACUGAAUUGUACACUUUAACAUCAUUCCAGUGGUAACUUUUGUGUUGUAUAUAUUUUACUAUAACAACAAAAUGAAACAAAGAACGUGGGGAUAAAAAUGUAUGCUUGAGAUCAGAUAAAAUGGAAUUUGCAACCCACCUUCAAUCCUGUUUCUGGGAAGUGGCUUGAAUCCUGACAGAGGUGGACCCAAGCAUGGCUACUUAGCACCCCUGCCACGUGGACUGCCCAGAAUCUGGGAGGCUGGAUUUAACCCCCUCCUUGAACAAAUGCAUCAGGUCAUCCUCUGGCUGGAGUCAUAAUGCCGUCCAUUUAGUCUUCCCAAAACAACACCUUUUCUCCCCAUGUUGCAGACCCAGCUGUCCACCUGGACACACCCUCCCAGUUGGAGAUGCACUGUUUAUUCUCUUGCAGGCUGGGAGCCUUGCAAAUGAUAAAAACGGGUGAAUCUUUCCCACGACUGGUGCAUUUUGAAUCUGUGAUGGACAGAAACCAAGCAACAGGACCGUUGCCCUCCGAGAAUCACUGUAGGCAUUUCCUACAGAGCCCUUAAAAUAGCAAUUGGCCCUUGGCCCCUUUACGUAGCCCAUCCCAAGAAACAUAAUUUUCUUUUGUGCCCAAACCAGAUGAUUGUGUGUUUUGCUUUUGAGUCCUUUUGGGCUCUGAGAUUAUAUGUAACUGUGUGUACAUGGAACUUUCACAGAUUCCUUGCAGGAUGAACUCUGAUUUGGACUCGAUCUCCCUCACGGACCCCUGCUCCUGGCUUCCACCACUUUGGGUUUCCAAACAGCAGAGAGACAACAGAACCGGUUUAGAAGCAAAACUUGCUGCCCCAGGAGAAAGGUCUGUUUGCUGGGAAUACCUACAUUGUGACAAUGUGGAGGAGCCCAGGAUUGGAAUGCCCUGGAAAUAUGACCUUGUUUCAGAGCCAACUCCGGGCUUCUAGCUGCAGAAAUGGCACAGGUUUGCCUGGAGUUGUCCUCGUUCUUGAUUAUAGGUCUGUUUUUCGUGGUCAUUCUUGUAUGAGCAUCCCUUCUUGUUCUGGCCUCUCCGUGCCCACAGCUACUGUCUACAUAGUAAUAAGACACUAAUAAUGGGUGGAAUUAGGUGAUAAAAAGUCCUGGGAUACAAGCAUCUCUUGCAGGCUGUGUAGAUGAAUCUUGCUCGAAGAGUGUCUUGGGGUCAUGGCAAUCCCACCUGUAAUGUAGCCAAGGAUGCUUCUCCACCUCAGGGGCUUGUGCUGAGGUGCUGCAGGGCAGGCUUUAUAGGAUGCAUUUAGAUGUAAGAUGGAAAUCCUCUUGCAAGUAGGCAAUUGUUUG